Molecule: long non-coding RNA, 263 nt
Filed under: Helicoverpa zea (corn earworm)
Lineage: Eukaryota; Metazoa; Arthropoda; Insecta; Lepidoptera; Noctuidae
Description: uncharacterized LOC124643047
Source: RNAcentral
GUUGAUUUUUAAUAUUGGUGACUACUGCGGCAAGGAAAAACGUACGAAGUCCCAUCCAAUAAACAGAGAAGAUAAUAUCGCGAUCCAUUGAGAAAAGAAGGCCACGAUAAAGAAGAAUGGGUCAGUAUUCAAAAGCUGCUGAAAAAAUAUGGAAAAAGAACGAGUUCUUGGCAUACAAUGCUGACACGAGAAAUAUUCUAUUAAUUACAAAAAAAGGAUGCUAAAUGACAGCUGGGCCUUCAGUUUACAAAUUAUAAAUUAUU